GGAUGUGAGGGCUCUCUGGCUGCAACAUGUCACCCCACUGAUCCCCAGGAUUGAUUCACUGAAUUGGCUGGCUUGGCAGGUGUCCCCUUCCUCAGAGCUCCAUGCGCAUCCCUCCUGAAGCUGCACACUGUGCUAGGUGGAAGAAGACAGCCUUCCCCUAUAAAAGAAGACUGUGCUUUGUCAAGGGCUUAUGAGUGAGUGUUAGAACCUCCAAAAAUGCUCUCAAGGUCCACUGUAGGAGAACAUAGGGUAGUCAAGCUUCUAAGCCUCCAGACACAUCCAAAUGAGGCGCCUUAAAAAAGGCAGUCUGCCUUA
Canis lupus familiaris (dog) is the source of this 315-nucleotide non-coding RNA. The record is from Rfam. Lineage: Eukaryota; Metazoa; Chordata; Mammalia; Carnivora; Canidae.